GAGGAUAAUAUUUAGGGAUGUACGUGAGAGACCCCUCCGGAGAAGAAGACGAUCAUUUUCCUUUUAUUUUUUCUUUUUCGUUUUCCAGAGAGAGAGAGAGUCAAGAAGAACGUCCUUUUUUUUAGAAUCGGACAUGUGGCCAUCUGGUAUUGGACACGAGAAGAUAUUAUUUCCUCUCCUUAUCCCUCCAUUCCUCGCCAGCUAAUGAGAGAGAGACUAUUCUUUUUUUGUUCGUUGGGAGUGUUCCUCAUUGAUGGAACGUGGCACAUGUAGAUUGAUAAAAACAAUGUUUUUUUAACUUUUC
RNAcentral lists this long non-coding RNA (304 nucleotides) under Lathyrus oleraceus (garden pea). RNAcentral's name for it is "Pisum sativum (pea) long non-coding RNA (PSAT_LNC030606)". Lineage: Eukaryota; Viridiplantae; Streptophyta; Magnoliopsida; Fabales; Fabaceae. The record is from RNAcentral.